This 497-nucleotide ribosomal RNA is filed under the name uncultured bacterium. Its description in RNAcentral is "partial 16S ribosomal RNA". It matches the Rfam family "Bacterial small subunit ribosomal RNA", at positions 28 to 507 of the family's 1533-position model. The record is from RNAcentral.
GAUGAACGCUGGCGGCGUGCCUAAUACAUGCAAGUCGAGCGAACAGAUGAGGAGCUUGCUCCUCUGACGUUAGCGGCGGACGGGGGAGUAACACGUGGAUAACCUACCUAUAAGACUGUGAUAACUUCGGGAAACCGGAGCUAAUACCGGAUAAUAUAUUGAACCGCAUGGUUCAAUAGUGAAAGACGGUUUUGCUGUCACUUAUAGAUGGAUCCGCGCCGCAUUAGCUAGUUGGUAAGGUAACGGCUUACCAAGACAACGAUGCGUAGCCGACCUGAGAGGGUGAUCGGCCACACUAGAACUGAGACACGCUCCAGACGCCUACGGGAGGCAGCAGUAGGGAAGCUUGCGCAAUGGGCGAAAGCCUGACGGAGCAACGCCGCGUGAGUGAUGAAGGUCUUCGGAUCGUAAAACUCUGUUAGUAGGGAAGAACAAAUGUGUAAGUAACUAUGCACGUGUUGACGGUACCUAAUCAGAAAGCCACGGCUAACUACGUG